GCGGUAACAGAUCCAGCUUGCUGGAUGCUGACGAGCGGCGGACGGGUGAGUAAUGCAUAGGAAUCUGCCCGGUAGUGGGGGAUAACCUGGGGAAACCCAGGCUAAUACCGCAUACGUCCUACGGGAGAAAGGGGGCUUCGGCUCCCGCUAUCGGAUGAGCCUAUGUCGGAUUAGCUAGUUGGUGAGGUAACGGCUCACCAAGGCCACGAUCCGUAGCUGGUCUGAGAGGAUGAUCAGCCACAUCGGGACUGAGACACGGCCCGAACUCCUACGGGAGGCAGCAGUGGGGAAUAUUGGACAAUGGGGGGAACCCUGAUCCAGCCAUGCCGCGUGUGUGAAGAAGGCCCUCGGGUUGUAAAGCACUUUCAGCGAGGAAGAACGCCUAGCGGUUAAUACCCGCUAGGAAAGACAUCACUCGCAGAAGAAGCACCGGCUAACUCCGUGCCAGCAGCCGCGGUAAUACGGAGGGUGCAAGCGUUAAUCGGAAUUACUGGGCGUAAAGCGCGCGUAGGUGGCUUGAUAAGCCGGUUGUGAAAGCCCCGGGCUCAACCUGGGAACGGCAUCCGGAACUGUCAAGCUAGAGUGCAGGAGAGGAAGGUAGAAUUCCCGGUGUAGCGGUGAAAUGCGUAGAGAUCGGGAGGAAUACCAGUGGCGAA
Molecule: ribosomal RNA, 656 nt
Filed under: Vreelandella aquamarina
Lineage: Bacteria; Pseudomonadati; Pseudomonadota; Gammaproteobacteria; Oceanospirillales; Halomonadaceae
Description: bacterial SSU rRNA
Rfam family: Bacterial small subunit ribosomal RNA
Source: RNAcentral